GGAGUUUGGUCCGUGUCUCAGUACCAAUGUGGGGGACCUUCCUCUCAGAACCCCUACUGAUCGUCGCCUUGGUGGGCCGUUACCCCGCCAACAAGCUAAUCAGACGCAUCCCCAUCCCUUAGCGGUAAACCUUUGGUUCAAUUUAGAUGUCUGCUUCGAACAACAUAGGGUAUUAAUCCGACUUUCGCCGGGCUAUC
This 197-nucleotide ribosomal RNA is filed under the name uncultured Bacteroidales bacterium. RNAcentral describes it as "partial 16S ribosomal RNA". The record is from RNAcentral. Lineage: Bacteria; Pseudomonadati; Bacteroidota; Bacteroidia; Bacteroidales.